This 25-nucleotide non-coding RNA is filed under the name Mus musculus (house mouse). The record is from RNAcentral. Lineage: Eukaryota; Metazoa; Chordata; Mammalia; Rodentia; Muridae.
UAGUGAGUAAAGUGACAGGAGAGCA